AUAAAUUAACAUCAAAAAGCAUUUUAACUUAUAUUUUUAAAAUGCUUUUAAGAUUAAAUAGAGCAAAUAAUGUAAGUUAAGACGAAAAAAAUUAACAAGUUGAGUUUUUUUUAAUGAGUUUUUUAUAGAAA
RNAcentral lists this unclassified non-coding RNA (131 nucleotides) under Listeria monocytogenes. Lineage: Bacteria; Bacillati; Bacillota; Bacilli; Caryophanales; Listeriaceae. The record is from RNAcentral.